GGAUUAGAUACCCUGGUAGUCCACGCCGUAAACGAUGAGUGCUAGAUGUCGGGGGACAUAGUCCUUCGGUGUCGCAGCUAACGCAUUAAGCACUCCGCCUGGGGAGUACGGUCGCAAGAUUAAAACUCAAAGGAAUUGACGGGGGCCCGCACAAGCGGUGGAGCAUGUGGUUUAAUUCGACGCAACGCGAAGAACCUUACCAGCCCUUGACAUCCCGGUCGCGAUUUCCAGAGAUGGAUUUCUUCAGUUCGGCUGGACCGGUGACAGGUGCUGCAUGGCUGUCGUCAGCUCGUGCCG
Molecule: ribosomal RNA, 297 nt
Filed under: uncultured bacterium
Lineage: Bacteria
Description: partial 16S ribosomal RNA
Rfam family: Bacterial small subunit ribosomal RNA
Source: RNAcentral